AAACCUACCCUCAGCACGGGGAUAAACCCGGGAAACUGGGUAUAAUACCCGAUAGUUCUGGGGAGCUGGAAUGCUUCCAGGACGAAAGCUCCGGCGACUGAGGAUGGGUCUGCGGCCUAUCAGGUAGUAGUGGGUGUAAUGUACCUACUAGCCUACGACGGGUACGGGUCGUGAGAGCGAGAGCCCGGAGAUGGAUUCUGAGACACGAAUCCAGGCCCUACGGGGUGCAGCAGGCGCGAAAACUUUACAAUGCUGGCAACAGCGAUAAGGGGACCUCGAGUGCCAGGAUACAAUCUUGGCUGUCGUAAUGCCUAAAAAGCAUUGCAUAGCAAGGGCCGGGCAAGACCGGUGCCAGCCGCCGCGGUAACACCGGCGGCUCGAGUGGUAACCGCUAUUAUUGGGUCUAAAGGGUCUGUAGCCGGCCGGAUAAGUCUUUUGGGAAAUCCAGCAGCUCAACUGUUGGGCUUUCAGAAGAUACUGUUCGGCUCGAGACCGGGAGAGGUGAGAGGUACUUCAGGGGUAGGGGUGAAAUCUUGUAAUCCUUGAAGGACCACCAGUGGCGAAGGCGUCUCACCAGAACGGAUCUGACGGCAAGGGACGAAAGCUAGGGGCACGAACCGGAUUAGAUACCCGGGUAGUCCUAGCCGUAAACGAUACUCGCUAGGUGUCAGCCACGGUGCGACCGUGGUUGGUGCCGUAGGGAAGCCGUGAAGCGAGCCACCUGGAAGUACGGCCGCAAGGCUGAAA
Molecule: ribosomal RNA, 747 nt
Filed under: uncultured archaeon
Lineage: Archaea
Description: bacterial SSU rRNA
Rfam family: Archaeal small subunit ribosomal RNA
Source: RNAcentral